RNAcentral lists this non-coding RNA (27 nucleotides) under Gallus gallus (chicken). Lineage: Eukaryota; Metazoa; Chordata; Aves; Galliformes; Phasianidae. The record is from RNAcentral. RNAcentral also lists the same sequence under 1 other name.
CGGUAGAGCAUCAGACUUUUAAUCUGA